This 443-nucleotide ribosomal RNA is filed under the name uncultured bacterium. RNAcentral's name for it is "partial 16S ribosomal RNA". It matches the Rfam family "Bacterial small subunit ribosomal RNA", at positions 338 to 795 of the family's 1533-position model. The record is from RNAcentral.
CCUACGGGUGGCAGCAGUGGGGAAUAUUGGGCAAUGGACGCAAGCCUGACCCAGCAACGCCGCGUGAAGGAUGAAGGCCCUCGGGUUGUAAACUUCUUUUAUCAAGGACGAAACAAAUGACGGUACUCGAUGAGUAAGCCACGGCUAACUACGUGCCAGCAGCCGCGGUAAUACGUAGGUGGCAAGCGUUAUCCGGAUUUACUGGGUGUAAAGGGUGCGUAGGCGGUUCUGCAAGUCAGAUGUGUAAUCCAGGGGCUCAACCCCUGGCCUGCCGGUGAAACUGUUAUACUUGAGUGCUGGAGGGGUAGGCGGAAUUCCGAGUGUAGCGGUGGAAUGCGUAGAUAUUAGGAGGAACACCAGUGGCGAAGGCGGCUUGCUGGACAGUAACUGACGCUGAGGCGCGAAAGCGUGGGGAGCAAACAGGAUUAGAUACCCUAGUAGUC